UACGUAGGGUGCAAGCGUUGUCCGGAAUUAUUGGGCGUAAAGAGCUCGUAGGCGGUCUGUCGCGUCGGAUGUGAAAAACCCAGGGCUCAACCCUGGGCCUGCAUUCGAUACGGGCAGACUAGAGUUCGGUAGGGGAGACUGGAAUUCCUGGUGUAGCGGUGAAAUGCGCAGAUAUCAGGAGGAACACCGAUGGCGAAGGCAGGUCUCUGGGCAUUAACUGACGCUGAGGAGCGAAAGCAUGGGGAGCGAACAGG
RNAcentral lists this ribosomal RNA (254 nucleotides) under uncultured bacterium. Its description in RNAcentral is "partial 16S ribosomal RNA". It matches the Rfam family "Bacterial small subunit ribosomal RNA", at positions 524 to 776 of the family's 1533-position model. The record is from RNAcentral.